RNAcentral lists this ribosomal RNA (599 nucleotides) under uncultured bacterium. Its description in RNAcentral is "bacterial SSU rRNA". It matches the Rfam family "Bacterial small subunit ribosomal RNA", at positions 338 to 947 of the family's 1533-position model. The record is from RNAcentral.
CCUACGGGAGGCAGCAGUGGGGAAUAUUGCACAAUGGGCGCAAGCCUGAUGCAGCGACGCCGCGUGAGGGAUGACGGCCUUCGGGUUGUAAACCUCUUUCAGCAGGGACGAAGCGCAAGUGACGGUACCUGCAGAAGAAGCACCGGCCAACUACGUGCCAGCAGCCGCGGUAAUACGUAGGGUGCAAGCGUUGUCCGGAAUUACUGGGCGUAAAGAGCUCGUAGGCGGUUUGUCGCGUCGUCUGUGAAAACCAGCAGCUCAACUGUUGGCUUGCAGGCGAUACGGGCAGACUUGAGUAUUUCAGGGGAGACUGGAAUUCCUGGUGUAGCGGUGAAAUGCGCAGAUAUCAGGAGGAACACCGGUGGCGAAGGCGGGUCUCUGGGCAAUAACUGACGCUGAGGAGCGAAAGCGUGGGUAGCGAACAGGAUUAGAUACCCUGGUAGUCCACGCCGUAAACGGUGGGCGCUAGGUGUGGGUCUCCUUCCACGGGAUCCGUGCCGUAGCUAACGCAUUAGCGCCCGCUGGGGAGUACGGCCGCAAGGCUAAAACUCAAAUGAAUUGACGGCUGAGACGNGCCGAGACGACGACGAGGGAGGAGG